RNAcentral lists this ribosomal RNA (404 nucleotides) under Fusobacteriota bacterium. RNAcentral's name for it is "Fusobacteria bacterium partial 16S ribosomal RNA". It matches the Rfam family "Bacterial small subunit ribosomal RNA", at positions 355 to 776 of the family's 1533-position model. Lineage: Bacteria; Fusobacteriati; Fusobacteriota. The record is from RNAcentral.
UGGGGAAUAUUGCACAAUGGAGGGAACUCUGAUGCAGCGACGCCGCGUGAGUGAUGAAGGACUUCGUUUCGUAAAACUCUGUUCUAUGGGAAGAAAAGGACUGUACCAUAGGAGAAAGCUCCGGCUAAAUCCGUGCCAGCAGCCGCGGUAAGACGUAUGGAGCGAGCGUUGUCCGGGAUUGUUGGGCGUAAAGGGUGCGCAGGCGGCUUUACAAGUUGGAUGUGAAAUAUUGUGGCUCAACCACAAACGUGCAUCCAAAACUGCAAAGCUGGAGGUAAGGAGAGGUAAGUGGAAUACCGGGUGUAGCUGUGGAAUGCGUAGAUAUCAGGAGGAAUACCGGUGGGUAAGACGACUUACUGGACUUAAACUGACGCUCACGCACGAAAGCGUGGGGAGCAAACAGG